Molecule: ribosomal RNA, 711 nt
Filed under: uncultured bacterium
Lineage: Bacteria
Description: bacterial SSU rRNA
Rfam family: Bacterial small subunit ribosomal RNA
Source: RNAcentral
ACUGGCGAACGGGUGAGUAACGCGUAGGUCAUCUGCCCAUAUCUCAGACAUAACUUCGCGAAAGUGGAGCUAAUAUCUGAUACGUACUUCGGUAUGAAAGCUUCGGUGGAUAUGGAUGAGCCUGCGUCUGAUUAGCUAGUUGGUGAGGUAACGGCUCACCAAGGCGACGAUCAGUAGCUGGUCUGAGAGGACGAUCAGCCACACUGGAACUGAGACACGGUCCAGACUCCUACGGGAGGCAGCAGUGAGGAAUUUUGCACAAUGGAGGAAACUCUGAUGCAGCGACGCCGCGUGUGGGACGAAGGGGCUAUGCCUCGUAAACCACUGUCGGCUGGGAAAAAAAGUCCGCUCGGCGGACUGGGAUUGUACCAGCAAAGGAAGGGACGGCUAACUACGUGCCAGCAGCCGCGGUAAUACGUAGGUCCCGAGCGUUGUCCGGAUUUACUGGGUGUAAAGGGUGCGCAGGCGGGCUUGUGCGUCGAGGGUUAAAGACCACGGCUCAACCGUGGGAGUGCCCUCGAUACGGCAGGUCUUGAAUAUGAGAGAGGAUAGUAGAAUUCCUGGUGUAGCGGUGAAAUGCGUAGAUAUCAGGAGGAAUACCAGUGGCGAAGGCGGCUAUCUGGCUCAUUAUUGACGCUCAGGCACGAAAGCGUGGGGAUCAAACAGGAUUAGAUACCCUGGUAGUCCACGCCCUAAACGAUGUAUGCUUGG